Molecule: ribosomal RNA, 408 nt
Filed under: uncultured bacterium
Lineage: Bacteria
Description: partial 16S ribosomal RNA
Rfam family: Bacterial small subunit ribosomal RNA
Source: RNAcentral
AGUGAACGCUGGCGGCGUGCCUAAUACAUGCAAGUCGAACGGAGUGGCGCACGGGUGAGUAAUGAAUAGCUAAUAUGACCUACACUAGAGGACAACAGUUGGAAACGACUGCUAAUAAUCUAUAGUGUAGGUUGAGGCUAUAUUGUAUCAGCUAGUUGGUGAGGUAAUGGCUCACCAAGGCUAUGACGCAUAACUGGUCUGAGUGGAUGAGCAGUCAAACUGGAACUGAGACACGGUCCAGGCUCAUACGGGAUGCAGCGGUAGGGAAUAUUGCUAAAUGGGGGAGACCCUGAAACGGCUACGCCGCGGGGAGGAUGAUACUUUUCGGAGCGUAAACUACUUUUGUUAGGGAAGCGGUACCUAACGAAUAAGCACCGGCUAACUCCGUGCCAGCAGCGGCGGUAAUAC